AUAAAUUUCUUCAUCAUACAUGCACCAUUUUCUGAUAAUUUUGUUAACUCAAAGAAAAAUAAUUGAUUAUUCAAAAAUAGAAACAUCUCUGCUGAAGAUAGUUUUUAUAUAUAUAUUGAGAGUUGCUUUUCUGAGUUGAACUCUCUAUUAUAUUUUGCUCAUUCUCAGAGUACAUGACUGCUUCUCCAUUUCUCUCACUGUGAAUCUUCUUUAUUAUCUUUCUUUCUUUUUUCAUUUUCUUUAUACUCAUCUGCAAUGUGCUUGCUUAUUUGCUGUAAUGAAUCUCUUUUUAUAUUCUUCUUCUUUCAUCACCACAACAUUGUCAGAGCACCACAUCUUGAUGUUUUUAUAAACAUUAUGAAGUA
RNAcentral lists this small RNA (365 nucleotides) under Histoplasma capsulatum. RNAcentral describes it as "hypothetical RNA". The record is from RNAcentral. RNAcentral also lists the same sequence under 1 other name. Lineage: Eukaryota; Fungi; Ascomycota; Eurotiomycetes; Onygenales; Ajellomycetaceae.